Molecule: ribosomal RNA, 251 nt
Filed under: uncultured bacterium
Lineage: Bacteria
Description: partial 16S ribosomal RNA
Rfam family: Bacterial small subunit ribosomal RNA
Source: RNAcentral
AGCGAACGCUGGCGACGUGCUUAACACAUGCAAGUCGAGUGCGCGGUUCGUAGCAAUACGAACUGGCGCACGGCGCACGGGUGAGGAACACGUGGGCAACAUGCCCUCCGAUGGGGAAUAACCCGCCGAAAGGCGGGCUAAUACCGCAUACGAUUCCGGGGACCUCGGUUCCUGGACUGAAAGCCCGCAAGGGCGUCGGUGGAGUGGCCCGCGGCCGAUUAGCUUGUUGGCGGGGUAACGGCCCACCAAGG